UACGUAGGGUGCGAGCGUUGUUCGGAAUUACUGGGCGGAAAGCGUGUGUAGGCGGUCUCUUAAGUCGGAUGUGAAAGCCCCGGGCUCAACCCGGGAAGUGCACUCGAAACUGGGAGGCUAGAGUACUGGAGAGGUUGGUGGAAUUCUCGGUGUAGAGGUGAAAUUCGUAGAUAUCGAGAGGAACACCGGUGGCGAAGGCGGCCAACUGGACAGAUACUGACGCUGAGACACGAAAGCGUGGGGAGCAAACAGG
Molecule: ribosomal RNA, 253 nt
Filed under: uncultured bacterium
Lineage: Bacteria
Description: partial 16S ribosomal RNA
Rfam family: Bacterial small subunit ribosomal RNA
Source: RNAcentral